RNA transcript from Haemorhous mexicanus (house finch), 2559 nucleotides. It is a transcript of the gene named nudix hydrolase 5, with no coding region annotated. The transcript is spliced from 8 exons. Lineage: Eukaryota; Metazoa; Chordata; Aves; Passeriformes; Fringillidae. The record is from RefSeq and is a predicted model, not a curated record.
CGCGGUGUUUCCUCCUGUGCUCUCACAUCUGCAUCUGGGGAUGUCUCCCCAGCUGUGUGACACGUCAGCUGUUGGGAAGUUUGAUAACACCGUGGAGCUGCCUCUCACCCUCUUCUGCUUCUGAGGAGAAAAACCUGACAUUCCUGAAAAUGGCAGCUGAGACAUCCACAGAAGUUGCAGAAACAGCUAAACAAUUCGUCCUUAAGGAAGAGGUAAUUGUAGAAAGACAAUGGUUGAAGCUUGCAGAAACAACUUACACUGAUCCCUUUGGGAAAACCAGAACUUGGGAAACUGUAAAGCGUACUGGCAACAAAAAGGGAGUUACAGCUGAUGGUGUAGCAGUGAUAGCAGUGCUGCAGAGAACCCUGCACUACGACUGCAUUGUUCUGGUGAAACAGUUCAGGCCCCCAAUCAAUGGCUACUGCUUGGAAUUUCCUGCAGGCCUCAUUGAGGAAAACGAGUCAGCAGAAAGUGCUGCACUUCGAGAGCUGAAGGAAGAGACUGGGUACAAGGGCGAAGUCAUUGAAUGUACUCCAGCUCUGUGCUUGGACCCAGGAAUGUCAAACAGCACAACACACAUCGUGAGCGUCAUCAUUAAUGGAGAUGAGGCUGAGAACACAAGACCUAAGCAAAACCUUGGUGAGUUUUGUACCAUUUAUUUGAAAAUACUGAGAAGAUAACAAAAUAAUGGGUUUAAAAAAAUUAACCCCACUGUGAUAUUGUCCACAAGGGUCUCAGGAUGAGGGAAGAGACGAGAAAGUUGACUCCAUGUAUCAGAAAGCUUGAUUUAUUAUUUUAUGAUAGAUAAUAUAUUAAAACUAUACUAAAAGAACAGAAGAAGGGAUUUCAUCAGAAGGCUAAGCUAAGAAUAGAACAGGAAGGAAUAACAAAGGCUUGUCUCUGACCGAGACAGUCUGCACAGGUGAUCUGUGAUUGGCCAUUAAUUAAAAACAACCAGAUGAGACCAAUCACAGAUUCUCCCUGUUGCAUUCCACAGCAGCAGAUAAGAUUUGUUUACAGUUUGUUCCUGAGGCCUCUCAGCUUCUCAGGAGGGAAAAAUCCUAAGGAAAGGAUUUUUCAAAAAACAUGUCGGUGACACCCCACCACUUCAUCUCCUGUCCUAGCUGAUUUGGAUACUGCGCAUCCGUCCAAUCACAUCCUGCAAUCUAGAUGAGUGUGUCUCUGCUGAAUCCACUGGGGAAGCCCAGAUGUGAAGUGUCAGCUGUUGGCACACUCAGAAUAAAACAUUUCAGUGCCAAAUUUCAGUGAGGGCCAUAAGCACUUGUGAACCUAGAUUACUGCUCUCAGUUGAAGUUUUACUCUGGAAAUAAUUGCAGUGUCACUCACAGUCAGUUAGCCAUCAAAUACGUUUUAAUUGUAAACUCUGGUGUAUUUCAACCCCUUAUCUCACUACGCUUUUCACUUGCAGAUGAUGGAGGUACGUAACGUGACUGUGAUCUCAUUGACAAUAAGGUCAUGAUUCUUCGUAUGGCAAGUUUUACUUAGAAAAAGUCAGUUACAACUGGUUUUUAUUUGUGCUUGAGUAAUCUGCCGACCUUAAUCAAAUGUGCCUGAGGUUGACUUUGGCCUAGAUGCAAAUUCCUGUGGGGCAUUAUUGCGUCAAUUAUCUUUCCCAGUAUUGCACCUAUAGCACCAGUAUUUCAGGAAAUUCAAAUUACUGCCCCCACAACAGCUGUAGGUCAAGCCCUGAAGACAAGUAAUUCAGAGACACAGGGGAGGGGUAAGCCAGCAUAAAUUCACCAUUAACAAACCCUUUGAGAUGGUUUGGUCUAGAAAUCCAUCUCCAGUCCAUUCCUGUACCAGGAGAAGCCAAACAAGUUUUCUUCAACAGUGUAUUUUUCAUUCUCAAAAGGGAGGUUUCUCUUUUGGGCAUUCUUAUCCUUCAUAGCUACCAGCUACACUUUUUUCCCAACUGUUUUUCCAGCCUUUUUCUGCCAAACAUGUUUUUUAGUGACCCAGUCACUGCCCUUCCCUAUUUAAUUGACCUUUUUUGGAUAUAUGAAAGCUCACAACUUUUGGAUGGUGUUGGGCAUUAAAUCAGUCUCUUUCCCCUUCUAAUUUGCAAGAAACAGAAGAUGGACUUAGAUUUCUCUACUGUUCACUAAUUGAAGGAUGUGUAAACCUUUUUCUUCUCUCCUAGAAUUUGUGGAAGUUGUUUCACUUCCAAAGAAUGAUCUACUGCAAAGAAUUGAUGAACUGGUAGCAGAGGAACAUCUGGCAGUAGAUGCCAGGGUUUACACUUACGCGUUGGCUCUGAAGCGCGCAGCAGAAAAACCGCUCCAAGUUCCUUUCAUGAAGUUCUAGAACUGGACAAUGAGAAAUUUAAUUCAAAACUGCCCAAGCUGGAUGGCUUAGAAGUACAGCUCUUCUUGUAAUCAAGGUCAUUUGCUUUACUUGUAGAGCAAAAAAAUUGUUUGUAGUAAUGAUUCUGGUAUUAUUAUUUUGAAUUAUGUAACUGACAAAAAAAACAUUUCUUCUAACUCCUCUGUCAAGCCUUGACAGAAUAUCCAUAAUAAAAAUACUGUUUAAUUUUCAGAA